UGUUUCAUUCAAAUUUCUGCCCUAUCAACUUUUCGAUGGUAGGAUAGAGGCCCUACAUGGUUUUAACGGGUAACGGGGAAUUAGGGUUCGAUUCCGGAGAGGGAGCCCUGAGAAACGGUACCACAUCCAAGGAAGGCAGCAGGCGCGCAAAUUACCCAAUCCCGAUACGGGGAGGUAGUGACAAUAAAUAACAAUACAGGGUUUUCAGUCUUGUAAUUGGAAUGAGUACAAUUUCAAAUCUCUUAACGAGGAACAAUUGGAGGGCAAGUCUGGUGCCAGCAGCCGGGGUAAUUCCAGCUCCAAUAGCGUAUAUUCAAAGUUGUUGCA
This 327-nucleotide ribosomal RNA is filed under the name uncultured fungus. RNAcentral's name for it is "SSU rRNA". It matches the Rfam family "Eukaryotic small subunit ribosomal RNA", at positions 291 to 617 of the family's 1831-position model. The record is from RNAcentral. Lineage: Eukaryota; Fungi.